Molecule: ribosomal RNA, 370 nt
Filed under: uncultured bacterium
Lineage: Bacteria
Description: bacterial SSU rRNA
Rfam family: Bacterial small subunit ribosomal RNA
Source: RNAcentral
GUAGGGAGCGAGCGUUAUCCGGAUUUAUUGGGUGUAAAGGGUGCGUAGAUGGAUAUGCAAGUUGGUUGUGAAAUACCUUGGCUUAACUAAGGAACUGCAACCAAAACUGUAAGUCUUGAGUACUGGAGGGGAAAGCGGAAUUCCUAGUGUAGCGGUGAAAUGCGUAGAUAUUAGGAAGAACACCGGUGGCGAAGGCGGCUUUCUGGACAGAAACUGACAUUGAGGCACGAAAGUGUGGGGAGCAAACAGGAUUAGAUACCCUGGUAGUCCACACCGUAAACGAUGGAUACUAGGUGUAGGUGAUGAUAAGUCAUCUGUGCCGUCGCAAACGCAGUAAGUAUCCCACCUGGGGAGUACGGCCGCAAGGUUG